This 500-nucleotide ribosomal RNA is filed under the name uncultured bacterium. RNAcentral's name for it is "partial 16S ribosomal RNA". It matches the Rfam family "Bacterial small subunit ribosomal RNA", at positions 29 to 523 of the family's 1533-position model. The record is from RNAcentral.
AGUGAACGCUGGCGGCAGGCCUAACACAUGCAAGUCGAGCGGCAGCGCGGGGGCAACCCUGGCGGCGAGCGGCGGACGGGUGAGGAAUUCGUCGGAAUCUGCCUUUUUGUGGGGGAUAACGUAAGGAAACUUACGCUAAUACCGCAUACGACCUACGGGUGAAAGUGGGGGACCGCAAGGCCUCACGCAGAAAGAUGAGCCGACGACCGAUUAGCGAGUUGGUAGGGUAAAGGCCUACCAAGGCGACGAUCGGUAGCUGGUCUGAGAGGAUGAUCAGCCACACUGGGACUGAGACACGGCCCAGACUCCUACGGGAGGCAGCAGUGGGGAAUAUUGGACAAUGGGCGCAAGCCUGAUCCAGCCAUGCCGCGUGUGUGAAGAAGGCCUUCGGGUUGUAAAGCACUUUUGUCCGGAAAGAAAUCUUCCAACUUAAUACGUUGGGAGGAUGACGGUACCGGAAGAAUAAGCACCGGCUAACUUCGUGCCAGCAGCCGCCGUAA